RNAcentral lists this long non-coding RNA (1600 nucleotides) under Panax ginseng (ginseng). RNAcentral's name for it is "long non-coding RNA (PGIN_LNC018295)". Lineage: Eukaryota; Viridiplantae; Streptophyta; Magnoliopsida; Apiales; Araliaceae. The record is from RNAcentral.
UCUUAACUUGCUCUUUGCUCGAUACGAAUUCCUCGUAUCACAUCAUCUAUAUUUCCUCAUGAGUUAUCUCGUACUAUUUCAUAGUACACCAUCUUCAUAGCAUUAAGCUAUAAUCAUUCAAACAUUACAGACCAUCUUUCUUUUAUCACUUCAACUGAUCACGUCGUGAUCUUAUUCUAUAAUCAUCUCUCCUAAAAUUCUUUUGUUAACUCGUGAUCGUUUUAUUUUACGAUCCCCUUUCUUUCCUUUUAUUUAAGACAUUAUUCGUUAUCUUGGCUUUUGGAGUUAGGAAACUCCGAUUUCUUAUCUUUAUAUCUCUUCAAGAUUCUUCUUUGAAUCUUCUUGUUUAUAUAACAAUUCUUCCUUUAAGAAUUCUAACUUCAUUUACAUCGCUUAAAAUUUCAUUCGAGUUCUACACUUUCAUCACACGUAUCCAUUUCUAUACUUGGUACACAUCGAGUCUCUAACAGUUUCAAUAUGGUACGUUGAGUGGUUUUCCACAAACAACCAACAAACUAGGUUCCGAGUUACUAGUUUGUAUAUACCUCCGCUCUAUGAAGGAAUCGUUUAGCCCAGAUACCAUACAUCAACUACUAAAGAGUACAAUUGCACCACACUUACAUAUAACUCUCUAUUCUUAACUUCUUUAUCAUUCUCUUCUUAUAGACAUUGUCUAUUUAUUAUCACCUUACAUUCUUAUUAUUGGAGUUGGGUAACCCCACAUUCAUAUUCCUUAUAACUCUGCCAAGAUUCUUCUUUGAAUCAUUUCAUGCAAGUUUUAAUCCCUUCUUUAUACGUUUCUUACAUUACUUCUUAUUGCUCAAACUCUAUCUGAGCUUAUUCUUUCAUUAUAUUCACCUCUUUUCUUUAAGGUUAUAGCCUACGGUACUCCUACCUAAGGUUUAUAACCUACAGCUUUGAAACCAACUGUAACGACCCCAAAAUUCAUACAAUAUAAUUAUUAACUUCGGUCGUUAAUAACACAUCCACCUUCUGAUUUUACAUCAUUAAUCGAUGUUAGACUUAAUAAAAUGAGGAAUAAUUAAAACUUUUCUGUCAUCUUACUUUAAUUCCCUGAAUCAAAACCUUUAUCAUCUACAUGUCUUUGAAACAUAUAUAAUCCAUAAUUCACUUCAUCACAAUUAUUAUAUCAAAUAACUCAACCUGAUAACCUUUACAUGUCAGAUAACUCUAACUUUAGCUUUACAACUCAAUAUAAAACUAUACAUCAUAAAACAUUUAGUACAUCUCAUGAAUCAUAAUCAUGGUAUUAAGACAUAACAAAUUUAGCUAAAAUAUUAAUCUUCGUGUAUUAUUUUUGAUCCACGUCAUUCAAGUAGCACAUAGUGUUACCUUCAAUCCUUAACCUGCAAAAAUGGUUAUUUGCAAGGUUGAACUCGACAGCCCAACAAAAUCUAACAGUUUUCAUGCAUCACAUAGCACAUAAUAACAUGCUCAACAUAUAACAUACAUACUACAAUUCAUUUAACAAGUAUAAAGAUUGAGUCCUUACUCAAUCAGCAUGUUUUACCAAAUCAAUGUAGUCAUAAGUUGACUUUAACAUUUCAUACAUUCAACAUAUAUAUUAGAUAGAUCAUGC